AGCUUAAGUGGUAGAGCACUUGCCUAGCAUGCAAGAGGCCCUGGGGUCAAUCCCCAG
Molecule: transfer RNA, 57 nt
Filed under: Dipodomys ordii (Ord's kangaroo rat)
Lineage: Eukaryota; Metazoa; Chordata; Mammalia; Rodentia; Heteromyidae
Rfam family: tRNA
About the family: Transfer RNA (tRNA) molecules are approximately 80 nucleotides in length. Their secondary structure includes four short double-helical elements and three loops (D, anti-codon, and T loops).
Source: Rfam by way of RNAcentral